This is a non-coding RNA of Misgurnus anguillicaudatus (oriental weatherfish), 2913 nucleotides long. NCBI's taxonomy places the organism in Eukaryota, Metazoa, Chordata, Actinopteri, Cypriniformes, Cobitidae. The record is from RefSeq and is a predicted model, not a curated record.
CUGGGUUGUUUCUGUAAACACAUUGUUGGGUUGUUUAUGCUGGGUCAAAAUUCUGGGUUGUUUGGAGUACUUUAAACACACUGUUGGGUUGCUCAUGCUGGGUCAAAUGAAAUGUAGUGGGUAAUUUACAAAUGAACACAUGGUUGGGUAAAUUUGACCCAGCAAAUGGUUUAUUUUCCUUUCAUUGGCUGGCCGUUUCUCAAGGCAGCCUUCACAAUGUUCAAAAUAUUAUCAUUUAAAUAUUACCAAAUGUAGUUUUAAGAGUUUUUUAGGCGACAAUGUAUGUGUGUAAAGUUCAAAACUUCGAUCGGUUUUUGAAGAUAGCGUAUAUUUAAAAAUGUGCUCCAACGAUGUCGAAGCUUCGAGAUUCAGGCAAUCACUGGGCGCUCUGCGCUGAUGUACCCGCCCAACACAGCCUCACCUCGGCACGUCAUUCUGGAAAUCACCGCUGGCUGUAAUGUCUCUGUAGUGUUUAGAACGGCGGAUUUAUUUCAUUUCGGGUCUCAUAAAUCUAUUAUUUGUUCCUUGCCAAGUCCGAAUUAAGUUACGUUACUGUAAGGAUGCAAGUUCUGCCAUUUUUUGUCGAACUUUCUGGAGGACUUCAUUUCCUCUGAAGCGAGGUGCACGCCACUCAAAGCGGGCAGUAUUUUAUGCCAGGAUCAUUUUGAAAAACAAACACCUGGUUGGGUUAUUUUGACCCAGCAAUUGGUUUAUUAAUUGCCGCACUUUCUGGAUUCUUCGCUUCUGACUGGAUCACGCUACUCGGACCAGGCGGUAUUUCAUGAGUUCAGUAGAAUCCACUGAAUUGACCCCAACAGAUCAUAUCACCAUGACAGUGGAACUUUUUUCAGCCUUUGCAGUUUGUCAGAUUUUGGAAAGCACCCCUGAGAGGAAAUCCGUAUUAAACCGUUAAAGUGCAAGCAAUUACCAACAAGCAGAGGAGGCUACUUGUGAGACUCCUUGCAUCCCAUCUGCUGGAAACCAAUGGUGAAACCUGAGCCAUCAUCAGACACUAAGAAGGCAUGUGACAAGGCAUUGGUGUAUGAAUUUCCUUGCCUGAAGGAUAUACAGCUGCUAAAGGGGAAACAGCACUGAAGAUGCCAACUCUGCUAGCUCCAUCCAUUUACAGGGGAGGAGGAGAAGUCUUCAGACCUACCACUGUGGAGGCCCAGAGGUCCUUUAUUGACAUGCAACCUGUGGGGACCAACAUGGUGGAAUAUCUGCAAAAUCAGAGAUGUUGCACGUUUUGUGACUUGGGGACGAGCCAAGAAGGACCUGCCAGACCUUUGCCAUUGUUGGAGGCAAUGCCUCUGAGACAAACUCUUUGGUGAAGGAUGUUGAUAAGUUUUUUUUUGUCUUUGAUGUUAACUACACAAAGCAAUAGGUGUGUUCGACUUCAUGCAGCGCUGCGCAGACCGAUCGGCAGGUGACUUGAAGCAGUGCAUUUUGGUUAGUACUUUUGUCCGACUUCAGCUGGCGCUGCAGGCACGUGACUGUGUCAUAUGGUUUUUAAGUACCGCGAGAGCGUUUCGAGAGCAGCCAGCUGGCUCAGCCGGUGCAGCUUCUCCAGAGCGGCUGCCCGGAGUUGUGAUGACGUAACAGCUUUACUUGAUUGGUCGCUUCAUUGAUGACAACGAUCACGUGCGUUUCAAGUUUAAUCCAACCUUUAGUUUCACUAAUAAACAUUAUAAAUUCAUGUUUUAAAACAGGAAAAAAACACUUUAAUAUCCUAAAAUAUGUUAUAUUGUGUCGUGUAAUAAAAUAAAAAUGAAAAUAACAAACUCUAUUGGUAUUUUAUUAAUAUAGGCUUGUUUCCCGUUAUUUUCGGGUAUACAGUUUAAGCAGCAAUUAAAAUAUUCGAUAUAAAAUGUUUCUGGUUGCAACUUUUUAUCAAAAGGUUUGUUUUUAUCAAAUUCAGCAUCUAAUUCACUUAAUUUGCGAUUAUAAACAAGGAAACACGGCGCACACGUCACUACGGCAAGCAGCAGGUGUCCGGCUUGACGGCUCCGUCUUCAGUUCCUCCCUCGACUGCAAGCGGCAAACCUCGUCGAUCGGUCUGCGCAGCGCCGGAUGAUCUCGAACACACCUAUUGUCUUCCCACCUGGGAGUUUCACCAGGAUGCCAUUUAUCAGAUUGAUGGACAUGAGUCCUCCUCUGUUAACAUUUUGAGGACAACAUUUAAUCACUAAUAAUUAACUAUUUCAGUGCUAUGUUUGAAAGAUUCGCCCACAAUGCAAUGCCAACAGGAGUUUACUUACAGGCUGUGAGGUCAAGUGGGAGGAAUUAUGAUAAUUUCGGUCUUGUCUACGUCACCAAUCCCAGGAAGUAAACUGUUGCCUACAAUCUGUGUUUGUUGUAGUCCAAGAAAAGAGAUCACUCGCAUUAUCGUUUACUUUGGGGGUUUGUACCUUUUGCAUAUCGUUAACAUGAAUUAAUACACAAUUACACACCAAAGGAAAUGUAAAAAUGUGAAUCGGACCAUAGCUGCUCUUUAAAAAAAAUUUUGUUUCAGGGCUUCUUGUUUUUAAUAACAUUUUGAUGAAUGAAAAUGUAAAGUAAAUGAAAUGCUAAUCAUCAUAGUUUAAAUAUUAAGAGUUAUAAAGUCCGUGGGGAUUGUUUGAUGUCAUAAUGGGGUUGUAACUUUUGUAUUAUACAAAUAUACAAAAAUGUAAUUAAAACAUUGUAUUAAAUGUAAAAAAAAAUUAAAUGCAAUUUAAAUCACAUUAACAGGGGCCUCUCAGUUUUGUUUUACAGGGGGUAUUUGUUACAUUUAUUUUAUAUCUAACAAUUUGUCACAUUGGAAUUUUAAGGUUCAAUCUGACAUUUUUGUCAAAAUUCAGUUAUUCACAUAUUUUUAAUCUGUAACAAUUUAUUUACAUUAUGUGAAGUUAUGUACAUUUUUGGGAUGUUUUU